This 353-nucleotide unclassified non-coding RNA is filed under the name Hevea brasiliensis (rubber tree). The record is from RNAcentral. Lineage: Eukaryota; Viridiplantae; Streptophyta; Magnoliopsida; Malpighiales; Euphorbiaceae.
GGAUGAAGAGCCAUACCAAAGAUGAAAUAGUCCAGGCUCUUAUUUGGUAAAUAUUCAUAGAUCAACAUCUUAUCUUCUUUGCAAAUACUUUGCAAAUGCAACAACCAGAAAGCCGGACAAGGUUUCUCUGUUGGAGUUUUGAUAUCAACCGUACUUUUAUUUUUGAAUCCCUGUAUCCCUUGUCCUGACUAUUUAGAUAAUCUUUUCGCUACUAUUUUUUGUCCAUUUGAAAGUUGACCCUGAAAGUACAUUUCCCAAUUCAAUUCACAGAUGUCCUGCCAUAGCUAUUUCUUGUUCUUCCUCUCAUGCUUCUUUCAGUCAAGGUCAUCAAAAUUUGAAAAGUAACCGGCAAU